This 910-nucleotide long non-coding RNA is filed under the name Homo sapiens (human). Its description in RNAcentral is "non-protein coding lnc-ILK-5:1". Lineage: Eukaryota; Metazoa; Chordata; Mammalia; Primates; Hominidae. The record is from RNAcentral.
CUCUCUAACUGGUCUUUUGGGCCUUUGAGGGGUCAUUCCAAUAUUUCAAAGCAUAGUGCUUUGGAGGGAGAAAUAUGCUUGCUAAGUUAACUGAUUAAUUAUUGAGUGCCUCCUAUGACAAAGAAGACACAAGCUGGGUACUGUGAUGAAUUUUGCAGGUUCCCUUUCCUCUCUUAAAAAAUUCUCAGUCUCCUUCAAAAGUUCUCUAUCCUGUCUGUUCCCUACUGCCUGACCUCAGCCUCCUCUUGCUCUACAUAUAUACUCUGAGUCACUCUAUCCAUUUAUUUAGCUUUAAUUGCUGACAACUCCCAAAUUUGUUCUUCCAGCAAAAACCUCUUUCUCAAGCUCCAGAUGCUUCCAGGCAUCUCAAAUGCAGCACAUAUGAAACUGAACUAUCUUCUUUUUCUUUUUAUUCCUUCUGGGAUAAAAGGAGAAGUAAUUGUAGGAAAGGUUAUGAAACCAUUUUACGGAAAAGUAGUUAGAAAUUAAGCCAGGACAAUGUCAUUAAGUCUUCAGUGACAUCCCUAGGUACAGCUUUUGUGUUUUCAUCUCCUUUUGUGUUUUCAAGUGAAUAGCAGAAAAACCCUUUAAUGGUGUGCUUCCUGUACUGGGCUACACAGUGGUGUACCAAGGUAUAUAUGAAACCACAGUGUAAACAAGGCUUGUCUUCCCAAGACAUCAAUUUUGAUAGAAAAUUGUGUGUGUUCAUGUGUGUGUGUGUGUCUGUGUGUAAUGUACAAUAUUUAACUUGUGAGAAUUAAAAAUCUUAUUUUUCUAUUAAACAGAUAUGUUGUGGAACAGAAUGCAAAAAUGUCAGAAAAGUUUAGUUCUUUCCUGGAAAUGUAAGCACACAAACCAUUUCUAUUAUUAAGAUAUCUCAGAUUUAACUACCAAAUUUAAGGCUGGGCUC